This 254-nucleotide ribosomal RNA is filed under the name uncultured bacterium. Its description in RNAcentral is "partial 16S ribosomal RNA". It matches the Rfam family "Bacterial small subunit ribosomal RNA", at positions 524 to 777 of the family's 1533-position model. The record is from RNAcentral.
UACGUAGGGACCGAGCGUUGUCCGGAAUCAUUGGGCGUAAAGAGCGUGUAGGCGGCCACUUAAGUCCUGCGUGAAAUCUUGCAGCUCAACCGCAAGCGGUCGUGGGAAACUGGGUGGCUAGAGUGCGGGAGAGGUGAGUGGAAUUCCGAGUGUAGAGGUGAAAUUCGUAGAUAUUCGGAAGAACACCAGUGGCGAAGGCGGCUCACUGGACCGGCAUUGACGCUGAGGUGCGAAAGCGUGGGGAGCAAACAGGG